UCAGGGACCAAACCAUCUCAACGAUUAGGUCAACUCUUAACCUAAUCGGGUCAAACCCAACUGAAUCCAAUUCAAUUGGACUUGAUUCAAAAAUAAUUACUCAAUCAAAUUGAGUUAAUUAGCGAUCAAAUCACUAAUUAAACCUCUCAUAAAUACUGAGUCCAAAUUCGAUGGGCAAUCGGGCAUCAGAAUUCAUCGAUAUGUAACCCUGAUUGAAAAAUCCCAACCAGUGAGACUCUUGACCCCGGUACCCAUAAUGUGUGAAACUCGUGAUCCGAGAAUCCUGAUUCUCAAUUACUGAGUCCCAAACAUGUAGGAUUCUACACCAGCCAUCAGAUCAGAUAGGAACCUCUAAUGUGUGUGACCCCGCAGGUUCGAACCUAAGCCGGUAGCACAGGAACCAAUUCCUGUAUUAAUCGAAGUGACCAUCUAGCAAUGGUACCC
RNAcentral lists this long non-coding RNA (444 nucleotides) under Elaeis guineensis (African oil palm). RNAcentral's name for it is "long non-coding RNA (EGUI_LNC066414)". The record is from RNAcentral. Lineage: Eukaryota; Viridiplantae; Streptophyta; Magnoliopsida; Arecales; Arecaceae.